CCCGCGCCCCGUAAAACGGGACGGCCCGCCAGAGGACCCAAACUCUAAUGUUUCUUAUUGUAACUUCUGAGUAAAACAAACAAAUAAAUCAAAACUUUCAACAACGGAUCUCUUGGUUCUGGCAUCGAUGAAGAACGCAGCAAAAUGCGAUAAGUAAUGUGAAUUGCAGAAUUCAGUGAAUCAUCGAAUCUUUGAACGCACAUUGCGCCCGCUGGUAUUCCGGCGGGCAUGCCUGUUCGAGCGUCAUUUCAACCCUCAAGCCCCCGGGUUUGGUGUUGGGGAUCGGCUCUGCCCUUCUGGGCGGUGCCGCCCCCGAAAUACAUUGGCGGUCUCGCUGCAGCCUCCAUUGCGUAGUAUCUAACACCUCGCAACUGGAACGCGGCGCGGCCAUGCCGUAAAACCCCAACUUCUGAAUGUUGACCUCGGAUCAGGUAGGAAAUACCCGCUGAACUU
Molecule: ribosomal RNA, 453 nt
Filed under: Fusarium sp. UASWS0889
Lineage: Eukaryota; Fungi; Ascomycota; Sordariomycetes; Hypocreales; Nectriaceae
Description: eukaryotic LSU rRNA
Rfam family: 5.8S ribosomal RNA (bases 93-246)
Source: RNAcentral